This 253-nucleotide ribosomal RNA is filed under the name uncultured bacterium. RNAcentral's name for it is "partial 16S ribosomal RNA". It matches the Rfam family "Bacterial small subunit ribosomal RNA", at positions 524 to 776 of the family's 1533-position model. The record is from RNAcentral. RNAcentral also lists the same sequence under 1 other name.
UACGUAGGGGGCAAGCGCUGUCCGGAUUCACUGGGUGUAAAGGGUGUGUAGGCGGGCUGGCGUGUCGAUGGUGAAAGCCCUCCGCUCAACGGAGGAACUGCUGUCGAAACUACCAGCCUUGAGGACGGGAGAGGGAGCUGGAACUUCCGGUGUAGCGGUAAAAUGCGUGGAUAUCGGAAGGAACGCCAAUGGCGAAGGCAGGCUCCUGGAACGUUCCUGACGCUGAAACACGAAAGCUAGGGGAGCAAACAGG